Molecule: non-coding RNA, 343 nt
Organism: Oribacterium sp. oral taxon 078
Lineage: Bacteria; Bacillati; Bacillota; Clostridia; Lachnospirales; Lachnospiraceae
Source: Rfam
GGGCUUGUACCGGUUUCGACGGGGACAAUGCAGCUUUAGAAGCUAUCCGAAAGACAGUUGCGUUAAACUUCAAAUUAAAUUUAAACGCUAACGACAACAGUUACGCACUGGCAGCCUAAGGGCCGCCGGCCAGCCUCAGUCCACUCAUAGUCUGAGAAUCUGACCUCAUUUAUGUGAGAAACGACAUGGGCGCUUCCCCUCGCUCAUGGGCGUAUCCGGGGAUACCGGCCGCAGCAGGACGUGCGCAUCCUUCUGCGGCGGGGAAUCACAAAAGCGUACUAUGAUAGUAGAAGGAAAGGGAAUUUGUUUUCGGACACGGGUUCGACUCCCGUCAGGUCCAUCC